Molecule: ribosomal RNA, 458 nt
Filed under: uncultured Thauera sp.
Lineage: Bacteria; Pseudomonadati; Pseudomonadota; Betaproteobacteria; Rhodocyclales; Zoogloeaceae
Description: bacterial SSU rRNA
Rfam family: Bacterial small subunit ribosomal RNA
Source: RNAcentral
GCACAAGCGGUGGAGCAUGUGGUUUAAUUCGAUGCAACGCGAAAAACCUUACCUGCCCUUGACAUGUCAGGAAUCUUCCAGAGAUGGGGGAGUGCCUUCGGGAGCCUGAACACAGGUGCUGCAUGGCUGUCGUCAGCUCGUGUCGUGAGAUGUUGGGUUAAGUCCCGCAACGAGCGCAACCCUUGUCACUAGUUGCCAUCAUUUGGUUGGGCACUCUAGUGAGACUGCCGGUGACAAACCGGAGGAAGGUGGGGAUGACGUCAAGUCCUCAUGGCCCUUAUGGGUAGGGCUUCACACGUCAUACAAUGGUCGGUACAGAGGGUUGCCAAGCCGCGAGGUGGAGCCAAUCCCUUAAAGCCGAUCGUAGUCCGGAUCGUAGUCUGCAACUCGACUGCGUGAAGUCGGAAUCGCUAGUAAUCGUGGAUCAGCAUGUCACGGUGAAUACGUUCCCGGGUCUU